RNAcentral lists this ribosomal RNA (408 nucleotides) under uncultured bacterium. Its description in RNAcentral is "partial 16S ribosomal RNA". It matches the Rfam family "Bacterial small subunit ribosomal RNA", at positions 28 to 526 of the family's 1533-position model. The record is from RNAcentral.
GACGAACGCUGGCGGCGUGCUUAACACAUGCAAGUCGACAUGAGUGGCGAACGGGAGAGUAAUACGUGGGUAACCUGCCCUCCGUUUUGGGAUAAGCCUUGGAAACGGGGUCUAAUACCGAAUAAAGGGGGAUGGGCGCGCGGCCUAUUAGCUUGUUGGUGGGGUAAUGGCCUACCAAGGCGGUGACGGGUAGCCGGCCUGAGAGGGGGACCGGCACCAUUGGAACGGGGAUACGGCUCAGAGUGCUACGGGUUGGAGAUGUGGGGGAUAUGGCACAAGGGGGGAAGGCCUGAUCCGCGGACGCCGAGUGGGGGUUGAAGGCUUUAGGCUCUUAAGCCUCUUUCGCUAUCGAGCGGGUAGGUAGAGAAGAAGCGCCGGCUAACUACGUGCCAGCAGCCGCGGUAAUAC